AUCUGUGCGCGACACAGAGCUCAAUGAAGCAAAGUUGAGUGAAUGUUGAGCUUGUUGAUGUAGUUAUUAUGAGUGCCAUUCACCGGGCGCUAAAGAAGCACUUCGGAUUCGACAGGUUUCGCUCUCAGCAGCAGGAAGAUGCCGUGAAAGCAGUGCUGAAGGGUGACAAAGAUGUGUUUGUAUGUAUGCCCACUGGAGCAGGCAAGUCUCUGGUCUAUCAGCUCCCUGCUCUUCUGUCCAGCGGCAUCACUCUGGUCAUUUCUCCUCUCAUCGCGCUCAUACAGGAUCAAGUGGAGCACCUGAAAGCUCUCAAUGUUCCCGCGCGAUCCAUCAACUCCAAGCUUCCCUCGGCUGAGCGCCGGCAGAUCCUGGCGGAUCUGGAGAGCGAGAGUCCUCGGCUCAAGCUGCUCUACAUCACUCCCGAGAUGGUGGCGUCUCCGUCCUUCCAGCCCUGCUUGAGCUCGCUGUGCUCGCGCGGCCUCCUGGCGUAUCUGGCGGUGGACGAAGCUCACUGCGUCUCCCAGUGGGGGCACGACUUCCGCCCGGACUACCUGAAGCUGGGCGACCUGCGCUCGCGUCUGCGGGACGUUCCCUGCGUAGCGCUCACAGCCACGGCGCCCAAGAGAGUGCAGGAAGACAUCGAGCGCUCGCUCAAACUGCGCUCGCCACUCCUCUUUGCCACGCCAGUUUUCCGGAAGAACCUGAAGUAUGACGUGAUCUUCCGGGAUCUGCUGCCUGAACCUUACGUCCACUUGCUUGCGUUUGCUAAAGAGGCGCUGGGCGGAAAUACUGCCGAAAAGGGAUGUGGGAUUGUUUACUGUCGAACCCGAGAGAGUUGUGAGGAAGUGGCUCAUAAGUUGACUAAAUUGGGAAUUUCAGCCAAGCCCUACCAUGCAGGGCUGAAGGCGGGCGAUCGCACGGAGAGUCAGGCUGACUGGAUGGCUGAUAAAGUGCCUGUUAUUGUGGCCACCAUCAGUUUCGGUAUGGGAGUGGACAAGGCCAAUGUCAGGUUUGUCGUUCACUGGAAUGUGGCGAAAUCUUUGGCCAGUUACUAUCAGGAGUCGGGGCGAGCUGGCCGUGACGGACUGCCGUCGUCCUGCAGGAUUUACUACUCCCCCAAAGACAGGGACCAGCUCGGCUUCCUCAUCCGCAAGGAAAUCACGCGCAAACAGGUCAGGAACGGCACCCGAUCCGGAUGUCUUCAUACUUCUGAGCAGUUACAGGUAGACAUUCAUUGUGUCUGAAUUCAGGAGAAGCGAGGGUCGCAGAGAGAGCAGGACAAGGCGCCCGUUCAGGACUUCGAGGCGAUGGUUGCUUUUUGUGAGCAAGAAGGGUGCAGACACGCCACUAUCUCUCAGUUUUUUGGCAAUCAGAAGCCCAACUGCGCUGGGUCAUGUGA
Rhinichthys klamathensis goyatoka is the source of this 1399-nucleotide RNA transcript. It is a transcript of the gene named ATP-dependent DNA helicase Q5-like, with no coding region annotated. NCBI's taxonomy places the organism in Eukaryota, Metazoa, Chordata, Actinopteri, Cypriniformes, Leuciscidae. The record is from RefSeq and is a predicted model, not a curated record. The transcript is spliced from 7 exons.